Molecule: ribosomal RNA, 804 nt
Filed under: uncultured bacterium
Lineage: Bacteria
Description: bacterial SSU rRNA
Rfam family: Bacterial small subunit ribosomal RNA
Source: RNAcentral
CCUUAGAGUUUGAUCCUGGCUCAAGAUGAACGCUGUCGGCGUGCUUAACACAUGCAAGUCGAACGGGAAACAUUUUAUUGAAGCUUCGGCAGAUUUAACUUGUUUCUAGUGGCGGACGGGUGAGUAACGCGUGGGUAACCUGCCUCACACUGGGGGAUAACAGUCAGAAAUGGCUGCUAAUACCGCAUAAGCGCACAGCAUCGCAUGAUGCAGUGUGAAAAACUCCGGUGGUGUGAGAUGGACCCGCGUUGGAUUAGCUAGUUGGCAGGGCAGCGGCCUACCAAGGCGACGAUCCAUAGCCGGCCUGAGAGGGUGAACGGCCACAUUGGGACUGAGACACGGCCCAGACUCCUACGGGAGGCAGCAGUGGGGAAUAUUGCACAAUGGGGGAAACCCUGAUGCAGCGACGCCGCGUGAAGGAAGAAGUAUCUCGGUAUGUAAACUUCUAUCAGCAGGGAAGAAAAUGACGGUACCUGACUAAGAAGCCCCGGCUAACUACGUGCCAGCAGCCGCGGUAAUACGUAGGGGGCAAGCGUUAUCCGGAUUUACUGGGUGUAAAGGGAGCGUAGACGGUGUUGCAAGUCUGAUGUGAAAGGCGGGGGCUCAACCCCUGGACUGCAUUGGAAACUGUGAUACUCGAGUGCCGGAGAGGUAAGCGGAAUUCCUAGUGUAGCGGUGAAAUGCGUAGAUAUUAGGAGGAACACCAGUGGCGAAGGCGGCUUACUGGACGGUAACUGACGUUGAGGCUCGAAAGCGUGGGGAGCAAACAAGAUUAGAUACCCUGGUAGUCCACGCCGUAAACGA